Long non-coding RNA from Lotus japonicus, 842 nucleotides. RefSeq lists it as uncharacterized. NCBI's taxonomy places the organism in Eukaryota, Viridiplantae, Streptophyta, Magnoliopsida, Fabales, Fabaceae. The record is from RefSeq and is a predicted model, not a curated record. The transcript is spliced from 3 exons.
UCUUAUUUUUAGUUGUUACUUUCUAUUAGUUUAUUAUCUUCCCUUCCCUUUAAAAAGAGCCUACCGCAAUGAGCGUCAAAUCUAAAUUAUAAUCACUUAUGUAUAGUUAUUUUCCUCGCCUUUUUACAUAUAAGAGUGUGUGCAUGUGAUUUCUAAGUCUAGACAGCCGUUGUGGUUUCUCCACCUUCGGCCUCUCUCAACUGCGCUUUCGCCUAUUUGCAUUUCCCUCUGUCGCGGCUGCUGAUGCUGCAGAGAAUGAGCGGGGCAUUGGUUGUUAAUGCACCAAAAAUAGAUCCUGUCAAAUCUUAUGAGGCCUAUCAAUCUUACAGGUGGCCACUUAAAUCCCUUCUAUUUAUUAAUGAUGGCUGCUUGAGCUGGCUCUAUGUAGGCCCUAAGGAGGUGACCUAGCACGCAGGUUAGAGAGGAUCAACAUGCUAACCCCGCCAUACAAAUGCAAUAGAAUGGUUAAUUUUUCCUCAGUUGCAGUUAAUUAUUAAUUUCCAAGUUCUGUUGUUGAGGAGGCUGUUGAGGCGGCACAACAUGCUAUAAAUGCAGCACAUGUUGAAGCUGAAAGCGUUGAGAAUGGUAUAAUUGCUGCCAACCUGAUAGGUGGACUGGAUACAGCGGUAAGUUUCAAAUAUGAUAAGGGAUAAGAUAGGAUCAGUUUGUUAUGUAAAUCUAGACUAAGAUAAUAUGUAAAUCUAGACUAAGAUAAGAGAUAAGAUAGGAUUAGUUUGUUUCUGAUUUUAGAGAUAUCAGAAUUUCUGUAAUUGCAAUAUCUCUUUGUAACUUGUUGAAAUCAGUAAAACGGAGGAGGACAAAUUCUGAUCCUUUACAUUUUA